AACGCACGAGACCUGCGGACCUGCGGAGGGAUCAUUAAUGAGAAGCUGCCCCUCGUGGGUAGACCUCACACCCUCUGUGAACUUACCUUUGUUGCUUUGGCAGGCCCGUCCUCUGGACCGCCGGCUUCGGCUGGCCCGUGCCUGCCAGAGGAUUCCAAACCCUGUCUGUCAGUGUUGUCUGAGUCUAUAUGAAAUCGUUAAAACUUUUAGCAACGGAUCUCUAGAUCGGAAGAGCACACG
RNAcentral lists this unclassified non-coding RNA (240 nucleotides) under soil metagenome. Its description in RNAcentral is "partial contains 5.8S ribosomal RNA, internal transcribed spacer 2, and large subunit ribosomal RNA". The record is from RNAcentral.